UUUGUAUUUUCCGUACGCUCUCUUACACAGGCUUUAGCAGUGCUGGUUUAAGCCAAAUCCCAGUUUUGGGAUUGAAGGGAUUUUGAUUCUUCAUUCAAGUUUUCAACUUUUCAUACGCAAAACUGACUAGUUUUUUACAACAAACCUUCUGAUUUUAGCUACUCAAAGAAAGUUAAGCUGUUCUUAUUUGUUUUGUUGAAGGAAAAAAAAAACAAAACUGGGUUUUGGACUCUGGGACGUCGAUGAUUGGUUUUUGUUGAAGGGAAAUGAAAAACUUCACCUUUAAGUCUUUAACUUUGCCUUUUCCUUGAGAAAAAGCUUUUGCUGAAAAUUUCUGCGUUUUCCUGAUUUGGAUCGUGAAGAUUAAAAGCUUAUCAUAUUAGGCUUGGGAUUCUUCUUUGAGCUUUGUUUUUGGCAAUGCAGACUUUAUAUUCUUGUGAAGAAGGGAUGGAGAUCAGAAAGACUAUGGAAAACAAAGGGCCCUUGCUCUGUGGACCAUAGCAAUCUCGCUUCUUUGGCAUCGAAAAGGCAGAAGGCCGACUUGUCUUCACCACAAAGGAUAGAAAGAGAAGUUUGGCGAAGGCAUUGUCGCUCUGCAGC
Hibiscus syriacus is the source of this 600-nucleotide long non-coding RNA. RefSeq lists it as uncharacterized. Lineage: Eukaryota; Viridiplantae; Streptophyta; Magnoliopsida; Malvales; Malvaceae. The record is from RefSeq and is a predicted model, not a curated record. The transcript has 3 exons.